GAUGAACGCUGGCGGCGUGCCUAAUACAUGCAAGUCGAGCGAACAGACGAGGAGCUUGCUCCUCUGACGUUAGCGGCGGACCGGUGAGUAACACGUGGAUAACCUACCUAUAAGACUGGGAUAACUUCGGGAAACCGGAGCUAAUACCGCAUAACAUAUUGAACCGCAUGGUUUAAUUUUGAAAGACGCUUUUGCUGCCAUCUAUAGUUGGACCCGCGCCGUAUUAGCUAGUUGGUAAGUUAACGCACUACCAAGACAACGAUGCGAAGCCGACCUGAGAGGGUCGUCGGCCACGCUGGAACUGAGACACGGUCCAGACUCCUACGGGAGGCAGCAGUGGGGAAUCUUCCGCAAUGGGCAAAAGGCUGACGGAGCGACGCCGCGUGGGUGAUGAAGGUCGGCGGAUCGUAAAACUCUGUUAUUAGGGAAGGACAGAUGUGUAAGUAACUAUGCACGUCUUGACGGUACCUAAACAGAGAGCCGCGGCUAAAUGCG
RNAcentral lists this ribosomal RNA (495 nucleotides) under uncultured bacterium. RNAcentral's name for it is "partial 16S ribosomal RNA". It matches the Rfam family "Bacterial small subunit ribosomal RNA", at positions 28 to 505 of the family's 1533-position model. The record is from RNAcentral.